AAAACUUAAUAAUUUGACGGUGAUAUUUCCUAAAGGAACUGUAAUUUAAUCGAUACUUCACGAACUAUUUCACUUAUAUUUAUCUUGUAUACCUCCGUAUAGAUUUUAUUAUAAAUUUAAUUAUCUAAUAAAUCAUUAUUAAUAUAUCAGGUCAAGGUGCAGUAUAUAUAAGUUAUUAUGUGUUACAUUGAGAAAUUAUAAUUAGAUUUAAUUUGAAAAAAUUAAGGAAAAUGAAUUUAUAAGUAAAAAAAAUUAUAAUAUUUUUUUGAAAAGUAAGUAUUUAUGUACACAU
This 292-nucleotide ribosomal RNA is filed under the name Opisthopatus cinctipes. Its description in RNAcentral is "partial 12S ribosomal RNA". Lineage: Eukaryota; Metazoa; Onychophora; Udeonychophora; Euonychophora; Peripatopsidae. The record is from RNAcentral.